AGAGUUUGAUCAUGGCUCAGGACGAACGCUGGCGGCGUGCUUAACACAUGCAAGUCGAACGAGGUCCAAGGUGUAGCAAUACACCUGAAGACCUAGUGGCGAACGGGUGCGUAACACGUGAGGAACUUGUCCCGGUCUCUGGGAUAACAGUUGGAAACGACUGCUAAUACCGGAUGACGUCGGAGCAUCGCAUGAUGCGCUGACGAAAGGGUUACUGGAUCGGGAGAGCCUCGCGGCCUAUCAGCUUGUUGGUGGGGUAACGGCCCACCAAGGCAUCGACGGGUAGCUGGUCUGAGAGGAUGAUCAGCCACACUGGGACUGAGACACGGCCCAGACUCCUACGGGAGGCAGCAGUGGGGAAUCUUGCGCAAUGGGCGAAAGCCUGACGCAGCAACGCCGCGUGCGGGAUGAAGGCUCUCGGGUUGUAAACCGCUUUCAGCAGGAAAGAAAAUGACGGUACUGCAGAAGAA
This 470-nucleotide ribosomal RNA is filed under the name uncultured Acidimicrobiales bacterium. RNAcentral describes it as "bacterial SSU rRNA". It matches the Rfam family "Bacterial small subunit ribosomal RNA", at positions 8 to 489 of the family's 1533-position model. Lineage: Bacteria; Bacillati; Actinomycetota; Acidimicrobiia; Acidimicrobiales. The record is from RNAcentral.